AAAUGCACUAACUGUAAGUCGCUCUGGAUAAGAGCGUCCGCUAAAUGACUCAAA
Non-coding RNA from Salmo salar (Atlantic salmon), 54 nucleotides. The record is from Rfam. NCBI's taxonomy places the organism in Eukaryota, Metazoa, Chordata, Actinopteri, Salmoniformes, Salmonidae.